RNAcentral lists this ribosomal RNA (113 nucleotides) under Propithecus coquereli (Coquerel's sifaka). The record is from RNAcentral. Lineage: Eukaryota; Metazoa; Chordata; Mammalia; Primates; Indriidae.
GUCUACGGCCAUACCACCCUGAACGUGCCCAAUCUCAUCUGAUCUUGUAAGCUAAGCAGGGUCGGGCCCGGUUAGUACUCGGAUGGGAAAAUGAUCUCAGGGUGAUCUGGUCC